CAGUAAUAGGCGUGGUAUUUCCAGAUCUCCCUUGAAACCCCAAAGACUUGUAGAUUUCAUUUUAACAUAGGGUUUCUAUUUGUCCAGUUUCAAACUUGCAGGUCUUUCCAUCUCUCUUUCCAAUUUAUUUUAUUUACUCAUUACAACAAAUGCAAAUACUGUUAACCUGGACAGUUUUUACUUAGUUUGAUAUGUUUUUAAUAGUCCAAGAGACCAGUGGAGAUGGCUUAAUUGAGUCAAGAAAGACGACUCAGAAAUCAUUUUGAAUGCUUUAUUACAACAUAAAAUAUUAUUGGGACAUGCACCCCUAACACCAGUAAUCUAGUAUAUUUUGAAAAGUUGUUUCUCAGUUUGCAAUGCUUCAGACACUUCUUAAGAUAUCGUAACAAAAUUUUGUGUGAUGGUUCCUGAGAUCGAGGAGCCAGUUUUCAUCUAUGUUUCUAUACAGUUGGGUGCCAUUUUGAAUCAAAAUGGCAGACUGGACCUUAAAAACUUCACUGAUUG
This is a long non-coding RNA of Lacerta agilis (Sand lizard), 504 nucleotides long. RefSeq lists it as uncharacterized. The record is from RefSeq and is a predicted model, not a curated record. The transcript has 2 exons. NCBI's taxonomy places the organism in Eukaryota, Metazoa, Chordata, Lepidosauria, Squamata, Lacertidae.